GACGAACGCUGGCGGCGUGCUUAACACAUGCAAGUCGAACGGAAAGGCCCUGCUUUUGUGGGGUGCUCGAGUGGCGAACGGGUGAGUAACACGUGAGUAACCUGCCCUGUACUUUGGGAUAACUUCAGGAAACUGGGGCUAAUACCGGAUAGGAGCUCCUGCUGCAUGGUGGGGGUUGGAAAGUUUCGGCGGUUGGGGAUGGACGCGCGGCUUAUCAGCUUGUUGGUUGGGUAGUGGCUUACCAAGGCUUUGACGGGUAGCCGGCCUGAGAGGGUGACCGGCGUCAUUGGGACUGAGAUACGGCCCAGACUCCUACGGGAGGCAGCAGUGGGGAAUAUUGCACAGUGGGCGGAAGCGUGAUGAAGCAACGCCGCGUGCGGGAUGACGGCCUUCGGGUUGUAAACCGCUUUAGCCUGUGACGAAGCGUGAGUGACGGUAAUGGGUGAAGAAGCACCGGCUAACUACGUG
RNAcentral lists this ribosomal RNA (468 nucleotides) under uncultured bacterium. Its description in RNAcentral is "partial 16S ribosomal RNA". It matches the Rfam family "Bacterial small subunit ribosomal RNA", at positions 28 to 507 of the family's 1533-position model. The record is from RNAcentral.